RNAcentral lists this ribosomal RNA (1240 nucleotides) under metagenome. RNAcentral's name for it is "bacterial LSU rRNA". It matches the Rfam family "Bacterial large subunit ribosomal RNA", at positions 1564 to 2815 of the family's 2925-position model. The record is from RNAcentral.
UGAUGACGAGACGCUAAGGCGUUGAAGCAGUGUAUGUCAGACUUCCAAGAAAAGCUCGCAAUGUCACAAAUAAAAACGCCUGUACCAUAACCGACACAGGUGGGUAGGUAGAGUAUACUAAGGGGCGCGAGAUAACUCUCUCUAAGGAACUCGGCAAAAUGACUCCGUAACUUCGGGAGAAGGAGUGCCUUAUUUAUAAGGUUGCAAUAACAAGAUCCAAGCAACUGUUUAUCAAAAACACAGGUCUCCGCUAAGUCGUAAGACGAUGUAUGGGGGCUGACGCCUGCCCAGUGCCAGAAGGUUAAAGAAGUUGGUUAGUGUAUGCGAAGCUGAUGACUGAAGCCCUGGUGAACGGCGGCCGUAACCAUAACGGUCCUAAGGUAGCGAAAUUCCUUGUCGGGUAAGUUCCGACCCGCACGAAAGGCGUAAUGAUUUGGAUACUGUCUCGGAGAGAGGCUCGGUGAAAUAGACUUGUCUGUGAAGAUGCGGACUACCUGCACCAGGACAGAAAGACCCUAUGAAGCUUUACUGUAACUUGAAAUUGGAAUUGGACUUUGCUUGCGCAGUAUAGGUGGGAAGCGUUGAAAAUAUUCUUGCGGGAGUAUUGGAGCUAUCAGUGAGAUACCACUCUUGUAAUGUUAGAUUUCUAACUUUGAACCAUAAUCUGGUCAAAGAACAGUUUCAGGUGGGCAGUUUGACUGGGGCGGUCGCCUCCCAAAUGGUAACGGAGGCGUACAAAGGUUUCCUCUGAACGGAUAGAAAUCGUAUCUAGAGUGUAAAGGCAUAAGGAAGCUUGACUGUGAGACCUACAAGUCGAGCAGGGACGAAAGUCGGUCUUAGUGAUCUGACGGUACUGAGUGGAAAGGCCGUCACUCAACGGAUAAAAGUUACUCUAGGAUAACAGGCUGAUCUCCCCCAAGAGUUCACAUCGACGGGGAGGUUUGGCACCUCGAUGUCGGCUCAUCGCAUCCUGGGGCGGUAGUACGUCCCAAGGGUUGGGCUGUUCGCCCAUGAAAGCGGUACGCGAGCUGGGUUCAGAACGUCGUGAGACAGUUCGGUCCAUAUCCGGUGUAGGCGCUAGAAUAUUGAGAGGAGCCUUCUUUAGUACGAGAGGACCGAGAAGGACACACCGCUGGUGUACCAGUUAUCGUGCCAACGGUAAACGCUGGGUAGCUAUGUGUGGAGUGGAUAACCGCUGAAAGCAUCUAAGUGGGAAGCCCACCUCGAGAUGAGUAUUCCC